CACACACACACACACACACACACUUCUGGAGAGAGGGAGUACUAGUAAAGAUGAACCAGUCAUUUAUUCAUACAUAUUAAACUGAUUCAUCUUCCCAUUCAUCAAUCCCUUUAUAGUCAUGUGCCACAGAUAUAUACACACAUCUCCACGACAUUCAUUUUGUUCAUUAUGCUGGUGAUGAUUAUGCAAAUAUAAUGUAGACGUGAAAAAUUAGUGCACAAAUAUAAAAUACAAUAUUCCAAUAUAUCAGACACACACACACACACACACACACACACACACUGAGAUAAUGCAUUUUAUAGCUGGGCACUGAUUUGGCACACCUACAUUAUGUUUCAUAUUGGCAUAUUUAUCAAUAAUGAUCUGAAAAAUCAGAAUAAGAAUAAUUUGAAUGCAUUUGUGUACAUAAUGUACACAACGCACACACACUUCUUAGUGAAAAAAGAGGAAGUUCUUUCUUCAUUUACUGUACAGAAUAAAAGAAAGAGAAGGUCAGAUUAGAUUCUCAUAAUACAGAAUAGUCCCAUCUGGUUUUUAAAUCAAUAAAAGAUUUUCACUGGAGGGAACAGAGAGAGACACAGUUUGCUCUUUGUCAGGAGUAUUCAAAGAAAGCAAGGCCAAACCCUUUCUCCCUGGAAGCAGCACAUGCAAACAUUAAAGCCAAGCAAGACCAUUGUAGAAGAAGCUCAUUUUUAAAUCUUUACUCUCUGUACAUUAGGUUUUAAAAAAAACACCAUAGUGUUUUAAAUGGCUUUUCUCCAGUAUUUGACUCUUUCAGGCCUACUUGGGUGAGAAGUUGCAGGAAGGUAAGUGGGAUUAUUCUCCAGUGGUGAAAAAAAAAGGGUACAGUUCAAGUUUAUAUAUAUAUAAUGUCUUACCCAUUUAUUUGUGUAAAGAACCUUUUUUAAAAAAAAAGGCUAGGGAAAUUAGCUCAAAUUAAGGAAAGCAUAGUAGACAAAUAUUUAGCAAAGGGAAGUCAUGAAAAAGGGAGCAAUCCUGGGCUGUCUGUCCCAUUGAACUCAGAGGGACUUACUUCUGAGUAAAAAUUCAUUGACUUGUGUUCCUUGUUUCACUGAAAACACGGUGUGAUGGGACCCCCAAUAUAUUCAAAUGUAUGCAUGCUCAAAAGUAAAUCCCCACUGUGUGCAAUGGUGUUCGCUCCCAGAUAAGUGUGCACAGGAUUUUAGUUUUACUUGUAAUUCAUUCUUCCUGGAUCAUGUCUAGAUUUCUAUCUUCAGUAAAAGAGUGGCUAUGCAGCAUUCUGAACUUCUUUCUCACUCUUUCAGAAACACACAUCUAAAUAACAGACUUAUGAAAUGCUCCAGACAGCCUCAAAACAAUGAGACAAGCAACUUGGCAGAGAGCUUACAAAGAGAUCAAAGUCUGAAUGUUAAAUGGGGUGCAUUUUAUAAAAAAAAAAAAAAUUGAACCCAUACCUGAAUAAAUCCACGAUCCUGUUAUAAACCAUAGUUAAUUAUAAGGUUGCUACCAGGCUGUAAAAGAGUAAAACAAAACACGGUUUAAAGAAACAUGCAUGGAAUUAAUGCAUUGAAAAGGCACUCUUGAAAUACAAGCACAAGUGGAAAUUAGAGUCAUUGGCAUCCACAGACUGGGGGCUUUUGUUUAAAUUAUGUAACAUGGGUUUUGUGCUUGACUUUGGCAGUGGGAUUCUAAAAUUAAACCACUGAACCACACAAAAGCCCAGUCCCUCCUAACUAGUCUCAUUUCAAUCAGUGGGAGCUUGGCCAUACAUUUCCAUGAGAGCCCAAAGGGACUUCAAAGACCCAAUUGGGUUGGGAACUGAAAUGCUGUUGCAUAGUGCUUAAUUUUAUUAAUCUUUUUAAGCCCACUGCUUUUGAACAAAUGCCCAUUUAAAGCAGUUUUGCAUAAUUACAUGUUUCAGUCGUGUUUGAGUUGAUUCUUAAUUUAUUAUUAUUAUUAUUAUCAUCGUCUUGGGUUGCAUGAAAAUUUCUUGAUUCAUUUGCUGAAACUGAGUCAGGUCUCUCUCUUGAGCUCUUUUCUCUGAGACACUUUCAGGAUUCACUGCUUUGCUGCAAGAAGGUUUGGACACAGAGGACGGUGCCAGCUUCUAGAAUGGAAUAAACAGAGCACUAUGUGUGUUUGAAUGAUGGGAGGAACAUCAGAAAUGCAUGGGAUGAUGUUCACAAAAGAGGUUGGCCUCUAGACCAUGGGAUGAACCUUGGAGAGUUGUGGAACACUGAACCAUACCCCAAUUUCUAAAGUGUUUGUACAAGAGAAUUAGAAUGGAUUUUGCUUUGCAGAUCUAUAAUCUCUCUUCUCUUGUCAAAUCCUGCUUACUUGUCUACAUGAAAACCCACCUCUGGAAGCUGCCUUUGUGGAACCUCCUUGAAUCUCUCAGUAUUGUUCUACCUUAUGGACACAUUUUCAGAUCUGCAAUUCUGCUGGAAAAGGAAAAAGCCACCUGCUGCUUGAUUCAGGGGGAAAAAGAUAUUCUGUUGUUUCCAACCCCUUCUGCUGAAGGAGACACAACAGUGUUAUCGUGCCAUCUUGUGGUUUCAUCAAGAAGGGGCAUUUAACAGCA
Long non-coding RNA from Sceloporus undulatus (fence lizard), 2563 nucleotides. RefSeq lists it as uncharacterized. The transcript has 4 exons. NCBI's taxonomy places the organism in Eukaryota, Metazoa, Chordata, Lepidosauria, Squamata, Phrynosomatidae. The record is from RefSeq and is a predicted model, not a curated record.